CAGCUCCAUUUAUUGGAGUGCAGAGGAGGAUCUUAAAUUUCCUUGGCAAGCCACAGUUGAAGAUUAAGGUUGUAGUUUCCUCGAAGAAUGUGACGCGAAGAGAAUACAUCGUUAGAUGCUGCGGAAGGCGUUCGUGCACAUCAAAUAUCGUGUAA
Long non-coding RNA from Cloeon dipterum, 155 nucleotides. RefSeq lists it as uncharacterized. The transcript has 2 exons. The record is from RefSeq and is a predicted model, not a curated record. NCBI's taxonomy places the organism in Eukaryota, Metazoa, Arthropoda, Insecta, Ephemeroptera, Baetidae.